GACGAACGCUGGCGGCGUGCUUAACACAUGCAAGUCGAACGAAGAGCGAUGGAAGCUUGCUUCUAUCAAUCUUAGUGGCGCACGGGUGAGUAACGCGUAAUCAACCUGCCCUUCAGAGGGGGACAACAGUUGGAAACGACUGCUAAUACCGCAUACGAUCUAAUCUCGGCAUCGAGGAUAGAUGAAAGGUGGCCUCUACAUGUAAGCUAUCACUGAAGGAGGGGAUUGCGUCUGAUUAGCUAGUUGGAGGGGUAACGGCCCACCAAGGCGAUGAUCAGUAGCCGGUCUGAGAGGAUGAACGGCCACAUUGGGACUGAGACACGGCCCAGACUCCUACGGGAGGCAGCAGUGGGGAAUCUUACGCAAUAGACGAAAGUCUGACGGAGCAACGCCGCGUGAGCGAUGACGGCCUUCGGGUUGUAAAGCUCUGUUAAUCGGGACGAAAGGCCUUCUUGCGAAUAGUGAGAAGGAUUGACGGUACCGGAAUAGAAAGCCACGGCUAACUACGUG
RNAcentral lists this ribosomal RNA (510 nucleotides) under uncultured bacterium. Its description in RNAcentral is "partial 16S ribosomal RNA". It matches the Rfam family "Bacterial small subunit ribosomal RNA", at positions 28 to 507 of the family's 1533-position model. The record is from RNAcentral.